This 377-nucleotide ribosomal RNA is filed under the name uncultured delta proteobacterium. RNAcentral describes it as "bacterial SSU rRNA". It matches the Rfam family "Bacterial small subunit ribosomal RNA", at positions 521 to 896 of the family's 1533-position model. Lineage: Bacteria; Deltaproteobacteria. The record is from RNAcentral.
UAAUACGGAGGGUGCAAGCGUUGUUCGGAAUUAUUGGGCGUAAAGCGGGCGCAGGCGGUCGUGUAAGUCGGAUGUGAAAUCCCUGGGCUCAACCCAGGAACUGCAUUCGAAACUGCACGACUAGAGUCUCGGAGAGGGUGGCGGAAUUCCCGGUGUAGAGGUGAAAUUCGUAGAUAUCGGGAGGAACACCAGUGGCGAAGGCGGCCACCUGGACGAUGACUGACGCUCAGGUCCGAAAGCGUGGGGAGCAAACAGGAUUAGAUACCCUGGUAGUCCACGCCGUAAACGUUGGGUGCUCGUCGUGGCGGGUAUUGACCCCUGCUGUGACCAAGCUAACGCAUGAAGCACCCCGCCUGGGGAGUACGGUCGCAAGACUA